AUGUUUCAACAGCACAUAUACAGCCAUUGAAAUUAUACAGAGAAGAUUAGCAUGGACCUCUGUGCAAAAAUGACUUGCUAAUUCAUGAGUAUUGUGCAAUCCAU
Molecule: small nuclear RNA, 104 nt
Organism: Anolis sagrei ordinatus
Lineage: Eukaryota; Metazoa; Chordata; Lepidosauria; Squamata; Anolidae
Source: RefSeq, a predicted model, not a curated record